GAAAAGAAAGAAUAAGAACCCUAGGGAGAAAAUUCAAGAGAAAAUUGGUGAAUUUCAAGUAAUCAAGCAAUCAAAGGUAAAAUUUCUUAAUUUUGACUUGUGAUCUACCUUUCCCAUGCAUUAUUUUGCAUUUUCCAUGGUUAAAUUAUAUGUUUUCAUGGUGAAUUCAUGGCUAGCUGAAUGGGUAUGGAAAGAGAAUGAUGUUGGAUUGAUUUGAUUUCAAGUUAUGUUAGUGUUUUUAGUUAGUUUACCAUGUCUAGAAAUAAAACAACAAGAAAAAAAUUCAUUUUCCCCAUCACCCAUCAAUGGCCGAACCUACCUUGUAUUGAGUGAGGAUGAAUUUUAUUUUUAUUUUAAGAGAAUUGGUUAGAAAAUGAUGAAUUAUGGUGUGGAAAAGUAGUAGAAAAAAUCACGGUGUUGAUGCACCAUUAUUGACCGAAAAUUCUAAGAAGAAAAGUGAAGAUGGAUUUGCCAAAUUUUAGGUUAUUUGACUUGUGUUUGGUGAAUUAAGGUAUUGAAAAAGAAAUGGAGUUUAUUGGAGUUAAAUUGGACAUAUUGGCCAAUUAAUCGGGUGAUUAAUCGAGUUAGGCCAACACCGCAUAUAGACAAUAAUCCGAACAAUUCGCGUUUCAUAUCAUGCAUCCUUAUAGAGUUUAGAAUAGUUUUAUAAUGGUCUAGCACCAAUGUGGUAAAUUGCUUGAUUUUACAUUAUGUCUAGGUGGUGGAUCCUCUGAAAAAAGGGCAAAGAAAUUGCACUCGAGGAUCAAUAGUCAGAGUACUUCAAAAUCCAAACUCUUGACAUAAUAAGUAACCUUAUCAUCAUCUUAAUUAUCUAAAGUAUGUUUUAUUCGAUUUUGAGAAUUUUAUGAAAAAUGAAUUAAAUGAUUAAUUUUUCGAUUUUAUAAACAAAAUGUGUUUAAAUGAAAUGAUUUUGUAAAUUGUUUUGAAAUUAAAUGAUGGCUUUGAAAAUAGAGUAAUUGGAGACCACUUGAUGUGUUGUAAAUUUAUGGUUUUAAUUGAUUGGCUUAUGGCACUAUGGGCAUGAAUGGUCGAAUUGCUAAAUGUGUUGAGAUAUAUGAAUUGUUGAUUUACCUUAAAAGGCUGUGAAUUACAAUAAUUGACAUAUCAUGCUAUUGAAUUUUAUUGAUUGGUGGGAUAAUUAUUAGCUUACUGCAGUGGGCGGGUUCCGUGGACUAGCCUAUUAGAGGGGCACGGUAACCCCGUUAUAUUUUACCUCGGUUGGAGAGGCGAGUAGGGUAACUCCCGAGGUAUAACUUUUAGAGUUCACUUCAUGCCAAACCACCACGUGAGGGUGAACUCAGCCAACGCCAAGGAACUGCUAUGUUUUCAAAACGAAAACAUGAUUUAUGCGUACAUAACUUUUUUACCGCCUUGGCGGACUCGAUUGGGAUAGCUCUCGAUCAAGGUAUCCCUGAUAACUGGGUAUGAGAAUGAUUUUGGCACAAACUAAAGCUUUUGAGAAAUUCAUAAGCCAUGUUGAUUACUCGAUUUAUAUGAAUUGAUUUUAUUUGGUUGAAACAAGUUGAAAGGUGAUGAAUUACAAUAUGUUAAACUAUUUUAUCUGUCUCCAUUUACUCGGCUGUAGAUAUUUUAGAUGGUAUUUGUUUACUCACUGAGAUUAUAUAAUCUCACCACCCUCCUUUUCACCCAUUUCAGGCUCAGAAUAGAUUGUAGAUAACUGAUAUCGUCGAGGACUACAGUUGGACUUGCCACAUCCAAAAGCUGUAGGUUCAUUUCUUUUUAUACUUUUAGUCAUUCGUGGGCCCAUGUGUCACUAUAAAUUAAAUUUUAUACUUUAGUUAUCUGUAUUAUAGUAUGUAUGAAUUUAUUUAGCUUUUACGCUAUAAAAAAUUAUUUACCUAUAACUCUAUAAAUAUUAUUUUAUAAAAAAAAUAGAAUAUUUUAUUGAAUAUUUUUUGUUAUAUUCAAAUAGAUAUAGUUUCGUUUUAAAUGAAUAUUUUAGACAUCUAAAUUUAUUUUUUAUUAUGAAAUAUGUGUUUUCCACUUGUAUACUACAUUUUUAACUGGUUUCGAGAUUUGUGAGGAAAAAUGACCAAAAUGCCCCUGUGAGAAAAAAAAUUAUUUUUUUGUAUUGAUUUGAUUUGGAAAUAGUUUAUAACCUCUCAAAACAUGUUAUAUUACAACUGUUGAUCAUAGGGGAGGUGAGGAAACUGAUAUUAAAGCCUUGCAAGGUUCCGAUCGGCAUUCCGGGAGAUGAAUGUCUAUUGGGGACAUCGCGACGGUUGUCACUGGCUCGAGGAGAGUACCGGGUCGUGACAAUAUUUCACAUACAUCCACAUAAAUAACAGAGU
RNAcentral lists this long non-coding RNA (2333 nucleotides) under Theobroma cacao (cacao). RNAcentral's name for it is "long non-coding RNA (TCAC_LNC001934)". The record is from RNAcentral. Lineage: Eukaryota; Viridiplantae; Streptophyta; Magnoliopsida; Malvales; Malvaceae.